CCUACGGGCGGCAGCAGUGAGGAAUAUUGGUCAAUGGCCGGAAGGCUGAACCAGCCAAGUCGCGUGAAGGAAGAAGGAGCUAUGGUUUGUAAACUUCUUUUAUAGGGGAAUAAAGGUAGCCACGUGUGGAGAUUUGCAUGUACCCUAUGAAUAAGCAUCGGCUAACUCCGUGCCAGCAGCCGCGGGAAUACGGAGGAUGCGAGCGUUAUCCGGAUUUAUUGGGUUUAAAGGGGGCGUAGGUUGUUUUUUAAGUCAGCGGUGAAAGUUUGUGGCUCAACCAUAAAAUUGCCGUUGAAACUGGAAGUCUUGAGUGUGUUUGAGGUAGGCGGAAUGCGUGGUGUAGCGGUGAAAUGCAUAGAUAUCACGCAGAACUCCGAUUGCGAAGGCAGCUUACUAGGCCAUAACUGACACUGAGGCACGAAAGCGUGGGGAUCAAACAGGAUUAGAUACCCGUGUAGUC
This 460-nucleotide ribosomal RNA is filed under the name uncultured bacterium. RNAcentral describes it as "partial 16S ribosomal RNA". It matches the Rfam family "Bacterial small subunit ribosomal RNA", at positions 338 to 795 of the family's 1533-position model. The record is from RNAcentral.